RNAcentral lists this ribosomal RNA (1234 nucleotides) under Bacteroides thetaiotaomicron. RNAcentral describes it as "partial 16S ribosomal RNA". Lineage: Bacteria; Pseudomonadati; Bacteroidota; Bacteroidia; Bacteroidales; Bacteroidaceae. The record is from RNAcentral.
UUACCAGUUUUACCCUAGGACGCUCCUUGCGGUUACGUACUUCAGGUACCCCCGGCUUUCAUGGCUUGACGGGCGGUGUGUACAAGGCCCGGGAACGUAUUCACCGCGCCAUGGCUGAUGCGCGAUUACUAGCGAAUCCAGCUUCACGAAGUCGGGUUGCAGACUUCGAUCCGAACUGAGAGAGGCUUUUGGGAUUAGCAUCCUGUCACCAGGUAGCUGCCUUCUGUACCCCCCAUUGUAACACGUGUGUAGCCCCGGACGUAAGGGCCGUGCUGAUUUGACGUCAUCCCCACCUUCCUCACAUCUUACGACGGCAGUCUCUCUAGAGUCCUCAGCAUGACCUGUUAGUAACUAAAGAUAAGGGUUGCGCUCGUUAUGGCACUUAAGCCGACACCUCACGGCACGAGCUGACGACAACCAUGCAGCACCUUCACAUUUGCCUUGCGGCUAACCUGUUUCCAGAUUAUUCAAAUGCAAUUUAAGCCCGGGUAAGGUUCCUCGCGUAUCAUCGAAUUAAACCACAUGUUCCUCCGCUUGUGCGGGCCCCCGUCAAUUCCUUUGAGUUUCACCGUUGCCGGCGUACUCCCCAGGUGGAAUACUUAAUGCUUUCGCUUGGCCGCUUACUGUAUAUCGCAAACAGCGAGUAUUCAUCGUUUACUGUGUGGACUACCAGGGUAUCUAAUCCUGUUUGAUACCCACACUUUCGAGCAUCAGUGUCAGUUGCAGUCCAGUGAGCUGCCUUCGCAAUCGGAGUUCUUCGUGAUAUCUAAGCAUUUCACCGCUACACCACGAAUUCCGCCCACCUCUACUGUACUCAAGACAGCCAGUAUCAACUGCAAUUUUACGGUUGAGCCGCAAACUUUCACAACUGACUUAACUGUCCACCUACGCUCCCUUUAAACCCAAUAAAUCCGGAUAACGCUCGGAUCCUCCGUAUUACCGCGGCUGCUGGCACGGAGUUAGCCGAUCCUUAUUCAUAUGGUACAUACAAAAUUCCACACGUGGAAAACUUUAUUCCCAUAUAAAAGAAGUUUACAACCCAUAGGGCAGUCAUCCUUCACGCUACUUGGCUGGUUCAGGCCUGCGCCCAUUGACCAAUAUUCCUCACUGCUGCCUCCCGUAGGAGUUUGGACCGUGUCUCAGUUCCAAUGUGGGGGACCUUCCUCUCAGAACCCCUAUCCAUCGAAGGUUUGGUGAGCCGUUACCUCACCAACUGCCUAAUGGAACGCAUCCC